RNAcentral lists this ribosomal RNA (253 nucleotides) under uncultured bacterium. RNAcentral describes it as "partial 16S ribosomal RNA". It matches the Rfam family "Bacterial small subunit ribosomal RNA", at positions 524 to 776 of the family's 1533-position model. RNAcentral also lists the same sequence under 1 other name. The record is from RNAcentral.
UACGUAGGGGGCAAGCGUUGUCCGGAAUUAUUGGGCGUAAAGCGCGCGCAGGCGGCUUCUUAAGUCUGAUGUGAAAGCCCACGGCUCAACCGUGGAGGGUCAUUGGAAACUGGGAAGCUUGAGUGCAGAAGAGGAGAGUGGAAUUCCACGUGUAGCGGUGAAAUGCGUAGAUAUGUGGAGGAACACCAGUGGCGAAAGCGGCUCUCUGGUCUGUAACUGACGCUGAGGCGCGAAAGCGUGGGGAGCAAACAGG